Molecule: long non-coding RNA, 538 nt
Organism: Dendronephthya gigantea
Lineage: Eukaryota; Metazoa; Cnidaria; Anthozoa; Malacalcyonacea; Nephtheidae
Exons: 3
Source: RefSeq, a predicted model, not a curated record
AAAGGAGAGUUUUUUCAGGCAACGGGCACAUUUAAUGCGCCACACCAACGAGGAAUACAGCACUCGAAGCCAAGGGUCUCACAUUUAGCGUGAAGAAGCAAGAAGCAGAAGUAAACAGAUUUUGUAUUACAAUGGCUGAAAUCUGUCCAAGUUGCGAUCAAUCAGUUUUCUCAGCAGAAAAGGCCGCGAUUAGUGGAAAGAAUGGCGAAGUUUGGCACAAGCAAUGCAUGAAGUGUAGCACUUGUAAAAAACGGCUAGAUAGCGUGACAUUUAACGAACAUAAAGGACAACUCUUCUGCAAGGCUCACUACAGCAAAGAAAUCGGGGCUAAAGGUUACGGAUUUGGACAAGGCGCAGGAACAUUCCACUACACGGAAUAAAUGGACGUAAAUCGUAGUGAUAUGCAUCGAGGUUUAUUUUGUAUAGAUUUUAAGGGAAUUAUCGAAACUGUCUAUGUUCCUUGUCAAUUGCUGGAGUAUUAAUUGCUUUAUUGUAACUAAUGCUAAAACACAAAUAAAACAUUUGUUUUUAGAGUAAA